AGCCAACAAACUUGAGGAUAUCCU
RNAcentral lists this non-coding RNA (24 nucleotides) under Arabidopsis thaliana (thale cress). Lineage: Eukaryota; Viridiplantae; Streptophyta; Magnoliopsida; Brassicales; Brassicaceae. The record is from RNAcentral.